UGGGGAAUUUUGGACAAUGGGCGAAAGCCUGAUCCAGCAAUGCCGCGUGUGUGAAGAAGGCCUUCGGGUUGUAAAGCACUUUUGUCCGGAAAGAAAUCCUUGGCUCUAAUACAGUCGGGGGAUGACGGUACCGGAAGAAUAAGCACCGGCUAACUACGUGCCAGCAGCCGCGGUAAUACGUAGGGUGCAAGCGUUAAUCGGAAUUACUGGGCGUAAAGCGUGCGCAGGCGGUUUGCUAAGACCGAUGUGAAAUCCCCGGGCUCAACCUGGGAACUGCAUUGGUGACUGGCAGGCUAGAGUAUGGCAGAGGGGGGUAGAAUUCCACGUGUAGCAGUGAAAAUGCGUAGAGAUGUGGAGGAAAUACCGAUGGCGAAAGGCAGCCCCCUGGGCCAAUACUGACGCUCAUGCACGAAAAGCGUGGGGAGCAAAACAGGAUUAGAUACCCUGGUAGUCCACGCCCUAAAACGAUGUCAACUAGUUGUUGGGGAUUCAUUCCUUAGUAACGUAGCUAAACGCGUGAAAGUUGACCGCCUGGGGAGUACGGUCGC
RNAcentral lists this ribosomal RNA (548 nucleotides) under uncultured bacterium. RNAcentral describes it as "partial 16S ribosomal RNA". It matches the Rfam family "Bacterial small subunit ribosomal RNA", at positions 355 to 889 of the family's 1533-position model. The record is from RNAcentral.